This 71-nucleotide transfer RNA is filed under the name Loxodonta africana (African savanna elephant). It matches the Rfam family "tRNA". Rfam says of the family: Transfer RNA (tRNA) molecules are approximately 80 nucleotides in length. Lineage: Eukaryota; Metazoa; Chordata; Mammalia; Proboscidea; Elephantidae. The record is from Rfam by way of RNAcentral.
ACGUUGGUGGUUCAUUGGUAGAAUUCUUACCUUCCAUACUGGUGACCUGGGUUAGAUUCCCAGCCAGCGCA